RNAcentral lists this unclassified non-coding RNA (1223 nucleotides) under Portunus trituberculatus (swimming crab). RNAcentral describes it as "vitamin K-dependent protein C-like, transcript variant X2". Lineage: Eukaryota; Metazoa; Arthropoda; Malacostraca; Decapoda; Portunidae. The record is from RNAcentral.
GGUAUUGGUGGUGAUGUGGUUGUGGUGGUGGCGGUAGGGGUAGAGGACCAGUGAUUCUGGUGCAGCCGCGGUAGUGAUCAGUCUACCUGAAGCUGUCGCGAGAAAAGGAACGCUUGACCAGCUAUCCACGUGCCCUCAACUGCUGAAGCGCAGCCAUGACUGUUUGGGCAGGCCUCUUUGUGGUGAUGGCCGCAAUGGUGAUCUUGCCUCCACCAGCUUCCUCUCAGGGAAGGAAAACCAUCUCCAAGCCAGACUUCCCGUGUGGCGAGCCUUACGGACGGAAUGGCGAGCUGCCGGAGAGAAGCAGGAGGAAGCGACAGAUUGUCUUCCCCGACGAACCGAAAUACGCGGAUCUCUUGAAGGUGCUGUUUGAUGCAAGUUUAACACGCUCCGGCAAGAAUGUUACGGGUAUCACAGAACCUAAUAAGAGUUUAUGCGGUGCCACUGUCAUCAGUGACCAGUUCAUCCUGACAGCCGGUCACUGCGUGUCGGGCAGCACUAAGAAAAUAUCAAUGGUGUCCCUGGGCGACCUUGACCUGACCCAAGAAGGUGAAGAAAACUCCAGAGUCGCCACCUAUGAGGUAGAAGGUGUCUUCCUCCAUCAUAAUUACAGCCACGACAAACCAACGCGCCACCAUGACGUGGCACUAAUCAAAACGAAAACAAAAAUACAGUUCAACGACGUUGUCUUCCCCAUGUGCAUAUCCGAUGAAAUCCCUCCACCAGGAACCAUCGUCGUCAUCUCCGGCUUCGGCUACUAUAAUGCCACGCACCAGCCAGACCACCUGCUGGAGGGCAACUUCACGGUAAUGGACACAGCCGAGUGUGAGAACAUCUACAAGGAGCAUGGCCACGAGCCCUUACUCAGAAUCAAGUACCCAAACCUGCUGCAGGGAACUGACGUCAUCUGCGCCAUAGACGACGUGGUUGACGCCUGCCAGGGAGACUCCGGUGGCCCCGUGAUUAGGGAAAAGAAUGGUAAGUUAUUCAUAGAAGGAGUCGUGUCGGGAGGAGCAAACUGCCACGGGAACUUCAAGUCAGUGCUGCCCGGCCUGUACAUCUCUAUAGCCAAACAGAUAGACUUCAUCGACAGUCAUGUGUACGGAUCUCCUGCUGUUGUGCCCUAGGUGUGUGUGUGUGUGUGUGUGUGUGUGUGUGUGUGUGUGUGUGUGUGUGUGUGUGUGUGCGUGUGUGUGUGUGUGUGUGUGUGUGUGUGUGUUUGU